UUCCGUAGGUGAACCUGCGGAGGGAUCAUUACCGAGUUUACAACUCCCAAACCCAUGUGAACAUACCUAUUGUUGCUUCGGCGGGAUUGCCCCGGGCGCCCCGUGUGCCCCGGAUCAGGCGCCCGCCUAGGAAACUUAACUCUUGUUUUAUUUUGGAAUCUUCUGAGUAGUUUUUACAAAUAAAUAAAAACUUUCAACAACGGAUCUCUUGGUUCUGGCAUCGAUGAAGAACGCAGCGAAAUGCGAUAAGUAAUGUGAAUUGCAGAAUUCAGUGAAUCAUCGAAUCUUUGAACGCACAUUGCGCCCGCCAGUAUUCUGGCGGGCAUGCCUGUCUGAGCGUCAUUUCAACCCUCAUGCCCCUAGGGCGUGGUGUUGGGGAUCGGCCAAAGCCCGCGAGGGACGGCCGGCCCCUAAAUCUAGUGGCGGACCCGUCGUGGCCUCCUCUGCGAAGUAGUGAUAUUCCGCAUCGGAGAGCGACGAGCCCCUGCCGUUAAACCCCCAACUUUCCAAGGUUGACCUCAGAUCAGGUAGGAAUACCCGCUGAACUUAAGCAUAUCAAUAAGCGGAGGAA
Molecule: ribosomal RNA, 571 nt
Filed under: Clonostachys sp. 4 MM-2016
Lineage: Eukaryota; Fungi; Ascomycota; Sordariomycetes; Hypocreales; Bionectriaceae
Description: eukaryotic LSU rRNA
Rfam family: 5.8S ribosomal RNA (bases 189-342)
Source: RNAcentral